This 304-nucleotide ribosomal RNA is filed under the name uncultured Aerococcus sp. RNAcentral describes it as "bacterial SSU rRNA". It matches the Rfam family "Bacterial small subunit ribosomal RNA", at positions 15 to 307 of the family's 1533-position model. The record is from RNAcentral. Lineage: Bacteria; Bacillati; Bacillota; Bacilli; Lactobacillales; Aerococcaceae.
GAUCAUGGCUCAGGACGAACGCUGGCGGCAUGCCUNAUACAUGCAAGUCGAGCGAACAGAUGAAGUGCUUGCACUUCUGACGUUAGCGGCGUAACGGGUGAGUAACACGUAAGGAAUCUACCUAUAAGCGGGGGAUAACAUUCGGAAACGGGUGCUAAUACCGCAUAAUAUCUUCUUCCGCAUGGAAGAAGAUUGAAAGACGGCUCUGCUGUCACUUAUAGAUGACCUUGCGGUGCAUUAGUUAGUUGGUGGGGUAACGGCCUACCAAGACGAUGAUGCAUAGCCGACCUGAGAGGGUGAUCGG